GUGAAUCAUCGAAUCUUUGAACGCAAAUUGCACUCUCCUCGGAGGGUAUGCCUGUUUGAGUGUCAGCCUAUAAAAAAUCGACAUCGUUGCUGUUUCGCGGUGGCGUUUGUCGGACAUUUGGUCAUCUUAAAUCUUUUGGUUUUAAGCGACUUAAAAUUUUCUUUUUGCUUCCAUGAACGUUUCUAAGAUUUAUUUCUUUACACGUUUAAGGUAUCGCUUUUUCUUAGACGUUACCUUCAUAUCGGAUGGCCCCCGU
This 256-nucleotide unclassified non-coding RNA is filed under the name Glomus sp. Its description in RNAcentral is "partial contains 5.8S ribosomal RNA and internal transcribed spacer 2". The stretch from base 1 to 65 matches the Rfam family "5.8S ribosomal RNA", at positions 84 to 154 of the family's 154-position model. Lineage: Eukaryota; Fungi; Glomeromycota; Glomeromycetes; Glomerales; Glomeraceae. The record is from RNAcentral.